ACCUUCUUCGGUUUGUUCAGAAAA
RNAcentral lists this microRNA (24 nucleotides) under Amborella trichopoda. RNAcentral describes it as "atr-miR8610.1". The record is from miRBase by way of RNAcentral. Lineage: Eukaryota; Viridiplantae; Streptophyta; Magnoliopsida; Amborellales; Amborellaceae.